RNAcentral lists this ribosomal RNA (253 nucleotides) under uncultured bacterium. RNAcentral describes it as "partial 16S ribosomal RNA". It matches the Rfam family "Bacterial small subunit ribosomal RNA", at positions 524 to 776 of the family's 1533-position model. The record is from RNAcentral.
UACGAGGGGGGCAAGUGUUGUUCGGAAUCACUGGGCGUAAAAAGAACGUAGGCGGAUGUUUAAGUUGAAUGUUUAAAACCGGGGCCUAACCUCGGAGCGGCAUCCAAAACUGGGCAUCUUGAAUAGGUCAGAGGCUGGUGGAAUUGGAGGUGUAGCGGUGGAAUGCGUAGAGAUCUCCAAGAACACCUAUUGCGGAGGCAGCCAGCUGGGACCAUAUUGACGCUGAGGCUCGAAAGCAUGGGGAGCAAACAGG